RNAcentral lists this ribosomal RNA (256 nucleotides) under uncultured bacterium. RNAcentral's name for it is "partial 16S ribosomal RNA". It matches the Rfam family "Bacterial small subunit ribosomal RNA", at positions 521 to 776 of the family's 1533-position model. The record is from RNAcentral.
UAAUACAGAGGGAGCUAGCGUUGUUCGGAAUUACUGGGCGUAAAGCGCGCGCAGGCGGCCAUUUAAGUCAGAUGUGAAAGCCCGGGGCUUAACCUCGGAACUGCAUUUGAAACUGAGUGGCUAGAGUAUGGUAGGGGAGAGGGGAAUUCCUAGUGUAGCGGUGAAAUGCGUAGAGAUUAGGAGGAACACCAGUGGCGAAGGCGCCUCUCUGGGCCAUUACUGACGCUGAGGCGCGAAAGCGUGGGGAGCAAACAGG